CCUACGGGCGGCAGCAGUGAGGAAUAUUGGUCAAUGGCCGGAAGGCUGAACCAGCCAUGCCGCGUGACGGUCAGUGCCCUAUGGGCGUUAAACUUCUUUUGUGCGGGAGCAAUAAUGGUCACGUGUGGCCAGACGAGAGUACCGUACGAAUAAGCAUCGGCUAACUCCGUGCCAGCAGCCGCGGUAAUACGGGGGAUGCAAGCGUUUUCCGGAGUUAUUGGGUUUAAAGGGGGUGUAGGCUGUGAGGUAAGUCAGCGGGGAAAUGCCCCCGGUCAACGGGGUGAAGUGCCAUUGAUACUGGCUUGCUGGAGUGCGGGUGCCGUGGGAGGAAUGUGUGGUGUAGCGGUGAAAUGCAUAGAUAUCACACAGAACACCGAUUGCGAAGGCAUCUCACGAAUCCGCGAUUGACGCUGAUGCACGAAAGCGUGGGUAUCAAACAGGAUUAGAUACCCCGGUAGUC
Molecule: ribosomal RNA, 460 nt
Filed under: uncultured bacterium
Lineage: Bacteria
Description: partial 16S ribosomal RNA
Rfam family: Bacterial small subunit ribosomal RNA
Source: RNAcentral